This 389-nucleotide ribosomal RNA is filed under the name uncultured eukaryote. RNAcentral describes it as "SSU rRNA". It matches the Rfam family "Eukaryotic small subunit ribosomal RNA", at positions 587 to 972 of the family's 1831-position model. The record is from RNAcentral.
AGCUCCAGUAGCGUAUAUUAAAGUUGUUGCAGUUAAAAAGCUCGUAGUUGGAUUUCUGGUACGACGUGUCUGGCCCGCCAGGGUUACCUGCGUGAGUGCCGGCGCGCGUCUGCCAUCCUUCUAGAAAACGGCCUUGCCCUUCACUGGGUUGGGGUCGCGAUCUAGAUCUUUUACUUUGAAAAAAUUAGAGUGUUUAAAGCAGGCUUCGCUAUGAAUACAUUAGCAUGGAAUAAUAAUUUAGGACUUCGGUCUCUAUUUUGUUGGUUUCUAGAGCUGAAGUAAUGAUUGAUAGGGAUAGUUGGGGGUGCUAGUAUUCAACGGCCAGAGGUGAAAUUCUUGGAUUCGUUGAAGACUAACUUAUGCGAAAGCAUUCACCAAGGAUGUCUUCU